AGUGAACGCUGGCGGUAGGCCUAACACAUGCAAGUCGAACGGCAGCACAGUAAGAGCUUGCUCUUACGGGUGGCGAGUGGCGGACGGGUGAGGAAUACAUCGGAAUCUACUUUUUCGUGGGGGAUAACGUAGGGAAACUUACGCUAAUACCGCAUACGACCUACGGGUGAAAGCAGGGGAUCUUCGGACCUUGCGCGAUUGAAUUAGCCGAUGUCGGAUUAGCUAGUUGGCGGGGUAAAGGCCCACCAAGGCGACGAUCCGUAGCUGGUCUGAGAGGAUGAUCAGCCACACUGGAACUGAGACACGGUCCAGACUCCUACGAGAGGGAGCAGUGGGGAAUAUUGGACAAUGGGCGCAAGCCUGAUCCAGCCAUACCGCGUGGGUGAAGAAGGCCUUCGGGUUGUAAAGCCCUUUUGUUGGGAAAGAAAAGCAGCAGGUUAAUACCCCGCUGUCCUGACGGUACCCAAAGAAUAAGCACCGGCUAACUUCGUG
Molecule: ribosomal RNA, 492 nt
Filed under: uncultured bacterium
Lineage: Bacteria
Description: partial 16S ribosomal RNA
Rfam family: Bacterial small subunit ribosomal RNA
Source: RNAcentral